Molecule: transfer RNA, 71 nt
Filed under: Aderitotermes cf. fossor BDIT074
Lineage: Eukaryota; Metazoa; Arthropoda; Insecta; Blattodea; Termitidae
Description: tRNA-Lys
Source: RNAcentral
CAUCAGAUGACUGAAGGCAAGUAAUGGUCUCUUAAACCAGUAAAUGGUACACUAGCAAGUAUCUCUGAUGA